RNAcentral lists this ribosomal RNA (167 nucleotides) under Escherichia coli. RNAcentral's name for it is "partial 16S ribosomal RNA". It matches the Rfam family "Bacterial small subunit ribosomal RNA", at positions 1 to 161 of the family's 1533-position model. The record is from RNAcentral. Lineage: Bacteria; Pseudomonadati; Pseudomonadota; Gammaproteobacteria; Enterobacterales; Enterobacteriaceae.
AAAUUGAAGAGUUUGAUCAUGGCUCAGAUUGAACGCUGGCGGCAGGCCUAACACAUGCAAGUCGAACGGUAACAGAAAUCAGCUUGCUGAUUUGCUGACGAGUGGCGGACGGGUGAGUAAUGUCUGGGAAACUGCCUGAUGGAGGGGGAUAACUACUGGAAACGGUA